AUAUAAUGAUGAUACGAUGACGAGUCUGAACUGCAUAUGAAUUUGGGUUUGUUGAUGAUUGUUGCCACGUUCUGUGGUACUGCUUCACUUCCCAUUGGAAGUUGUUGGUUUUAAGAUGUUUUUGAGGCAUUUGUCUGAAUAAC
Molecule: small nucleolar RNA, 143 nt
Filed under: Homarus americanus (American lobster)
Lineage: Eukaryota; Metazoa; Arthropoda; Malacostraca; Decapoda; Nephropidae
Source: RNAcentral